RNAcentral lists this ribosomal RNA (217 nucleotides) under Campeiostachys nutans. RNAcentral's name for it is "Elymus nutans partial small subunit ribosomal RNA". It matches the Rfam family "Eukaryotic small subunit ribosomal RNA", at positions 644 to 864 of the family's 1831-position model. Lineage: Eukaryota; Viridiplantae; Streptophyta; Magnoliopsida; Poales; Poaceae. The record is from RNAcentral.
GGGUUAGUAGGUUGGUCAUGCCUCUGGUAUGUACUGGUCUCACUGAUUCCUCCUUCCUGAUGAACCUUAAUGCCAUUAACUUGGUGUUUUGGGGAAUUUGGACUGUUACUUUGAAAAAAUUAGAGUGUUUAAAGCAGGCCAAUUGCUUGAAUACAUUAGCAUGGAAUAACGGAAUAGGACGUUUGAUUCUAUUUUGUUGGUUUCUAGGAUCGACGUA